Molecule: ribosomal RNA, 253 nt
Filed under: uncultured bacterium
Lineage: Bacteria
Description: partial 16S ribosomal RNA
Rfam family: Bacterial small subunit ribosomal RNA
Source: RNAcentral
GACAGAGGCCUCAAGCGUUAGGCGGAAUCACUGGGCUUAAAGCGUGUGUAGGCGGACGCCUAAGUACCUUGUGAAAUCCCACGGCUCACCCGUGGAACGGCUGGGUAUACUGGGCGUCUUGGGCUAACUAGGGGCAACUGGAACAAGCGGUGGAGCGGUGAAAUGCGUAGAUAUCGGAAGGAACAUCAGUGGCGAAAGCGGCAUCCUGGACCGGUAUUGACGCUGAGGCGCGAAAGCCAGGGGAGCAAACGGG